AGAGAUUCUACCACUUCCUCACGUGUGAUGCGAUAUUUAUCCACUCGAGACAGUUAAAUUUUCAAAUUUAAAACGCGAGGCUUGACGCGUGUUUUAAAUGUUAAAAAUUUUAACUGUCGAGAGUGGAUAGAUAUCGGAUGACACGAAAUUUGGUGGUGGAAUCUGUUUCUCU
RNAcentral lists this small RNA (172 nucleotides) under Mytilus galloprovincialis (Mediterranean mussel). Lineage: Eukaryota; Metazoa; Mollusca; Bivalvia; Mytilida; Mytilidae. The record is from RNAcentral.